Molecule: long non-coding RNA, 294 nt
Filed under: Homo sapiens (human)
Lineage: Eukaryota; Metazoa; Chordata; Mammalia; Primates; Hominidae
Description: non-protein coding lnc-PRRT3-2:1
Source: RNAcentral
AUGUUGAGAAAAGCAAGAUUUUUGUUCAGAAGUGUGCCCAGUGCCACACCGUGGAAAAGGGAGGCAAGCACAAGACUAGGCCUAAUCUCCAAGGUCUCUUCGGGCGGAAGACAGGUCAGGCUGUUGGAUUCUCUUACACAGACACCAAUAAGAACAAAGGCAUCACCUGGGGAGAGGAUACACUGGUGGAGUAUUUGGAGAAUCCCAAGGGUAUGGAAGAAAAAUGAUCUUUGCCGGCAUUAAGAAGAAGGCAGAAAGGGCAGGCUUGAUAGCUUAUCUUAAAAAAGCUACUAA